GAGUUUGAUCCUGGCUCAGGAUGAACGCUGGCGGCGUGCUUAACACAUGCAAGUCGAGCGAUGAAGUUUCCUUCGGGAAACGGAUUAGCGGCGGACGGGUGAGUAACACGUGGGUAACCUGCCUCAUAGAGUGGAAUAGCCUUCCGAAAGGAAGAUUAAUACCGCAUAACGUUGAAAGAUGGCAUCAUCAUUCAACCAAAGGAGCAAUCCGCUAUGAGAUGGACCCGCGGCGCAUUAGCUAGUUGGUGGGGUAACGGCCUACCAAGGCGACGAUGCGUAGCCGACCUGAGAGGGUGAUCGGCCACAUUGGGACUGAGACACGGCCCAGACUCCUACGGGAGGCAGCAGUGGGGAAUAUUGCACAAUGGGGGAAACCCUGAUGCAGCAACGCCGCGUGAGUGAUGAAGGUUUUCGGAUCGUAAAGCUCUAUCAGCAGGGAAGAUAAUGACGGUACCCAAGGAGGAAGCCACGGCUAACUACGUGCCAGCAGCCGCGGUAAUACGUAGGUGGCGAGCGUUAUCCGGAUUUACUGGGCGUAAAGGGAGCGUAGGCGGAUGAUUAAGUGGGAUGUGAAAUACCCGGGCUCAACUUGGGUGCUGCAUUCCAAACUGGUUAUCUAGAGUGCAGGAGAGGAGAGUGGAAUUCCUAGUGUAGCGGUGAAAUGCGUAGA
RNAcentral lists this ribosomal RNA (670 nucleotides) under uncultured bacterium. RNAcentral describes it as "bacterial SSU rRNA". It matches the Rfam family "Bacterial small subunit ribosomal RNA", at positions 9 to 694 of the family's 1533-position model. The record is from RNAcentral.